RNAcentral lists this ribosomal RNA (484 nucleotides) under uncultured bacterium. RNAcentral describes it as "partial 16S ribosomal RNA". It matches the Rfam family "Bacterial small subunit ribosomal RNA", at positions 28 to 523 of the family's 1533-position model. The record is from RNAcentral.
GACGAACGCUGGCGGCGUGCUUAACACAUGCAAGUCGAACGAUGAAGCCGGAGCUUGCUCUGGUGAAUUAGUGGCGAACGGGUGAGUAACACGUGAGUAACCUGCCCUUGACUCUGGGAUAACUGCGGGAAACUGUAGCUAAUACCGGAUACGACCCUCGGAGGCAUCUCCUGGGGGUGGAAAGAAUUUCGGUCAAGGAUGGACUCGCGGCCUAUCAGCUAGUUGGUGAGGUAAAGGCUCACCAAGGCGACGACGGGUAGCCGGCCUGAGAGGGUGACCGGCCACACUGGGACUGAGACACGGCCCAGACUCCUACGGGAGGCAGCAGUGGGGAAUAUUGCACAAUGGGCGCAAGCCUGAUGCAGCAACGCCGCGUAAGGGAUGACGGCCUUCGGGUUGUAAACCUCUUUCGCUCACGACGAAGCGCAAGUGACGGUAGUGAGAGAAGAAGCACCGGCCAACUACGUGCCAGCCGCCGCCGUAA